RNAcentral lists this ribosomal RNA (528 nucleotides) under uncultured bacterium. RNAcentral's name for it is "bacterial SSU rRNA". It matches the Rfam family "Bacterial small subunit ribosomal RNA", at positions 17 to 518 of the family's 1533-position model. The record is from RNAcentral.
AUCUGGUUCAGGACGAACGCUGGCGGCGUGCCUAAUACAUGCAAGUCGAACGGUCUUUCUAUGGAAGCUUGCUUCCACUGAGAAGAUAGUGGCGAACGGGUGAGUAACACGUGGGUAACCUGCCCAUAAGAGGGGGAUAACAUCCGGAAACGGGUGCUAAUACCGCAUAGUUUUCUUGAUCGCAUGAUCGGGAAAGGAAAGACGGCCUUUGUGCUGUCGCUUAUGGAUGGACCCGCGGCGUAUUAGUUAGUUGGUGAGGUAACGGCUCACCAAGACGAUGAUACGUAGCCGACCUGAGAGGGUGAUCGGCCACAUUGGGACUGAGACACGGCCCAAACUCCUACGGGAGGCAGCAGUAGGGAAUCUUCCGCAAUGGACGAAAGUCUGACGGAGCAACGCCGCGUGAGUGAAGAAAGGUUUUCGGAUCGUAAAACUCUGUUGUCAGAGAAGAACAAGUUGGAGAGUAACUGCUCCAGCCUUGACGGUAUCUGACCAGAAAGCCACGGCUAACUACGUGCCAGCAGCCGC